UGUGGUCUUUUUCUACGUCCACAUAUAGUACAAACACUUCUGUAGAAUUAGAUUUUCACCAAGCUAUACGCCCACUUCCCUUUUCUCUCUUUCUACGACAGUUUUGAGCAGCUUCCACCAGCUUUCGGCCAUCCUUUUCGGGUAAAGCAUAUCUAUUUGCAGCUACAUCGGCAACUGGAGCACAAGUAUUUCCAUUGAUGCUUUUUAUACUUCCAAAGUUCUCCAUCUUCAACCUAUACCUUCUCUCCAAAACAUAAGUUAAAUCUUCUGCGCUUCGGUUAAUGCUCAUUUUUCUGUCAAUUGGUUAGUUCUCGCUUUCUACUACCUUCUUUGUUGCACUUAUUAAGGGUUUAAAUUGUGCUAUUUGUUGAAAUUGAAGGUUCACAUUUGUAUUCAAAGUAAUAGCUCAACUUUUGCUUGAUUUGAGUAACUGCAUGAGUUUCUCGACCAAAGAAAAACAUGGAUUUCCGACGGAAAUUUACUCUCGCCAUCUACUUCUGGGUAAUCUCUACAAAGUUUGGGAAUUGUGUUACACCUCUAUGGUUGUGCUGAAUGAUUAGGAUGAUGGAAAAGUUUAGAAUUUCAUUGUACCGUCACUCUCUCAUCUUGCGAAAAAUCUGCGUGUUGUGCUAAAGAUAAUUUUAAGAUAAACUAUGCUAACGUCUACAAGAAGCAUGGUAUGUUGCACUGGGAUGCAUCAUGAUGAUACAGGAAACAUGAUUUAUGUAACUGGCAAUUUUGUAUAAUGCUCCGAAAGCCAGCAAAACAUUGUAGACGUGCGCGACGUCUUGCUCUAAGUUUCUCCCUAUUUGCUCGUUCAAUGGCAUGGAUUGCAUCAAAUAGCAUGGUUACACACAAGGUUUAAAAUUCCAGAUUUCCAGGAAAUAAUCUUCCUCCUCAGCUUUUGCCACACCUUUAUGAUGCACUUUUUGAUGAAAUCUCUUGGGCUACAGAAUAUGAGCCUACAGAGGAGCUGCGGAAGUCUUUCUGCUUCAAGUUUUACCUAAUAAUCAGUAAAAUUUACAAGCAUAAGAAUGCAGACAAACAAAAAGGGCCGAGUGGUGAUCAAACUAUUGUAUACAUUAAAUCAGAAGAUAAAAUCUUUCACGAGUUAAGCAUUUGGUCCUUCAGUUCUCCUUUGCAUACACAGUUGGUUAGGACUGAUGAGGAAGAGACUGGAGACGAUGUACUUCCAUAUGGAGGAAAAGAAGUGGUAUUUACACUUUCACUGGAUUAAGCUAUUGGUCUAUAAAUUGAAAUUUUGAUUCAUAUAACUAUGGGAGAUACCUGCUUCACUUCUCCGUGAGAGAUGUCACUUUUGGAAAUUAAUCCUAAAAACUCAUUGUGGUCGCGAUAUGUGUAUAUUAUUUAGAAUAGUAUGGUAUGACAAUUUAUUUCUGACCAUUUCAGAAAGAAUGAAAUCUUGCAAUAUUUGUAGCUAUAUGGAUCAAGAGAAGUAUGGAAAGUUGCUACUGAUAAGUUUACUUGAAUGUUCAACUCAUCAGAAUUGAAUGUUGUGCCGUGCAUAGCACGACCUUACUUAUCUAGUAUAGAUAUAUAUAUAGGAGACUCUUAGCCUAUCCUAGACUAAGAGUUAUAUAUAUAGUAGAAGGAAGAGAAACUUUAAAAGCUUCUACAAGAUUAAAUUCUAUAAGAUUAAAAAUCUAUUAUUAUAAUUAAUUGAAUUGGCAAAAGCCUCACCCGACGUUGCAUUGAAAGUCACUUUUAAUACCAAUUGUAACAUCUACCAAAGAAUUAAGAGUCACCUCAUUAACUCCACCACGAUUACACCUCUUCAAAUUUACAUUCAUAUAUAUUGAUUCAUUUUAUGUACUGAAUAAAAUAAUCAAUAAUUUACACUCACCAUAUUGAAUAACAUUUGUCAUCACGAGUUAAUAUUUCACCAUAUAGAUUGCCCAAUAAUUUUUUCUACUAAUUAAUUUCCUAACAGUUUCUUCAUUUUAGUAAAUUCUAAUUACAAUAUAAUAUUUUGUACAUUGAUCCCUCACAAUUAUACGGAUAAUUAAUUCUCACGUCUCUUAAUAUUCUUCUAAAUGCUCUAUCUAUAAUUGGAAGCGACCUUUGAGGCUUGAGAGUACUCUUCAAAUGAAAUUUGUUCAGAUUCCCUCUUUCUUAAGUCUCACUUUUGCUGCUCAAAAAAGUAUUCUCUUGACUAUUUUUUUCUUUUAUCAUUAUUAGAAUCUCUCUUGAAAAAAAAUACGACAAUACGACCUAUUAUGUAUAUUUUUUGAGAAUCAUCUUUGUGCAUGUCCUUCAAUAUUGAUUGAAUAUUUGUAUUAGGGGAAGAAAUAUUUACUUAUUCUGGUGGAAACUCCAUAAAAUCUCACGAAACUUUUAAAGUUUCUCUUCCUUCUACUAAUGAUAAAAUUUCAUACUCAUUCAUCCGCAUACUUUUUGUUAUUUUUAGGAAUAGGUUAUUGAACAUGAAGAGUUGAAGUUGUUCAUCCCAUCAUACAAUGAGGUAUUGAAAAGCUAUCCGUCGGUGACUUUUAUGAUUUUGAUAUGGCAGUAGACGAUAAGGAUAGAGAAAGCAAAGUAAUCACUGAGAGAAGAUUGACAGAGUUUGAAUUUUUAUAGACGCUAUAUUGUUUAAUUUAAGAUU
Capsicum annuum is the source of this 2623-nucleotide RNA transcript. RefSeq lists it as uncharacterized. The record is from RefSeq and is a predicted model, not a curated record. NCBI's taxonomy places the organism in Eukaryota, Viridiplantae, Streptophyta, Magnoliopsida, Solanales, Solanaceae. The transcript is spliced from 8 exons.